Molecule: ribosomal RNA, 253 nt
Filed under: uncultured bacterium
Lineage: Bacteria
Description: partial 16S ribosomal RNA
Rfam family: Bacterial small subunit ribosomal RNA
Source: RNAcentral
GACGUAGGGCGCAAGCGUUGUCCGGAUUUAUUGGGCGUAAAGAGCUCGUAGGCGGCUUGUCGCGUCGAAUGUGAAAACUCGGGGCUCAACUCCGAGCUUGCAUUCGAUACGGGCAGGCUAGAGUUCGGUAGGGGAGACUGGAAUUCCUGGUGUAGCGGUGAAAUGCGCAGAUAUCAGGAGGAACACCGGUGGCGAAGGCGGGUCUCUGGGCCGAUACUGACGCUGAGGAGCGAAAGCGUGGGGAGCGAACAGG